RNAcentral lists this ribosomal RNA (253 nucleotides) under uncultured bacterium. RNAcentral's name for it is "partial 16S ribosomal RNA". It matches the Rfam family "Bacterial small subunit ribosomal RNA", at positions 524 to 776 of the family's 1533-position model. The record is from RNAcentral.
UACGUAGGGACCGAGCGUUGUCCGGAUUCAUUGGGCGUAAAGAGCUCGUAGGCGGCUGUUCAAGUCGAACGUGAAAACUCGGAGCUCAACUCCGAGCCUGCGUUCGAUACUGGACGGCUAGAGUCUGGUAGGGGGAUCUGGAAUUCCUGGUGUAGCGGUGGAAUGCGCAGAUAUCAGGAGGAACACCGGUGGCGAAGGCGGGAUCCUGGGCCAGUACUGACGCUGAGGCGCGAAAGCUAGGGGAGCAAACGGG